GACGAACGCUGGCGGAAUGCUUUACACAUGCAAGUCGAACGGCAGCACGGGGCAACCUGGUGGCGAGUGGCGAACGGGUGAGUAAUACAUCGGAACGUGCCCAGUCGUGGGGGAUAACGUAGCGAAAGCUACGCUAAUACCGCAUACGAUCUAUGGAUGAAAGCGGGGGACCGUAAGGCCUCGCGCGAUUGGAGCGGCCGAUGGCAGAUUAGGUAGUUGGUGGGGUAAAGGCUCACCAAGCCUGCGAUCUGUAGCUGGUCUGAGAGGACGACCAGCCACACUGGGACUGAGACACGGCCCAGACUCCUACGGGAGGCAGCAGUGGGGAAUUUUGGACAAUGGGCGCAAGCCUGAUCCAGCCAUUCCGCGUGCAGGAUGAAGGCCUUCGGGUUGUAAACUGCUUUUGUACGGAACGAAAAGCCUUUUUCUAAUACAAGAAGGUCAUGACGGUACCGUAAGAAUAAGCACCGGCUAACUACGUGCCAGCAGCCGCCGCAG
Molecule: ribosomal RNA, 498 nt
Filed under: uncultured bacterium
Lineage: Bacteria
Description: partial 16S ribosomal RNA
Rfam family: Bacterial small subunit ribosomal RNA
Source: RNAcentral